This 443-nucleotide ribosomal RNA is filed under the name uncultured bacterium. RNAcentral's name for it is "partial 16S ribosomal RNA". It matches the Rfam family "Bacterial small subunit ribosomal RNA", at positions 338 to 795 of the family's 1533-position model. The record is from RNAcentral.
CCUACGGGGGGCAGCAGUGGGGAAUAUUGGGCAAUGGGCGCAAGCCUGACCCAGCAACGCCGCGUGAAGGAAGAAGGCUUUCGGGUUGUAAACUUCUUUUCUCAGGGACGAGGCAAGUAACGGUACCUGAGAAAUAAGCCACGGCUAACUAGGUGCCGGCAGCCGCGGUAAUACGGAGGUGGCAAGCGUUAUCCGGAUUUACUGGGUGUAAAGGGCGUGUAGGCGGGACUGCAAGUCAGAUGUGAAAACCACGGGCUCAACCUGGGGCCUGCAUUUGAAACUGUAGUUCUUGAGUACUGGAGAGGCAGACGGAAUUCCUAGUGUAGCGGUGAAAUGCGUAGAUAUUAGGAGGAACACCAGUGGCGAAGGCGGUCUGCUGGACAGCAACUGACGCUGAGGCGCGAAAGCGUGGGGAGCAAACAGGAUUAGAUACCCGUGUAGUC